This 442-nucleotide ribosomal RNA is filed under the name uncultured bacterium. Its description in RNAcentral is "partial 16S ribosomal RNA". It matches the Rfam family "Bacterial small subunit ribosomal RNA", at positions 338 to 795 of the family's 1533-position model. The record is from RNAcentral.
CCUACGGGAGGCAGCAGUAGGGAAUCUUUCACAAUGGGCGAAAGCCUGAUGGAGCAACGCCGCGUGCAGGAUGAAUGCCUUCGGGUUGUAAACUGCUUUUAUAAGCGAGAAAUAUGAUGGUAACUUAUGAAUAAGGAUCGGCUAACUACGUGCCAGCAGCCGCGGUCAUACGUAGGAUCCGAGCAUUAUCCGGAGUGACUGGGUGUAAAGAGUUGCGUAGGUGGCAUAAUAAGUAGCUAGUGAAAUCUGGUGGCUCAAACAUUCAGACUAUUAGCUAAACUGUUAAGCUCGAGACCGUUAGGGGUAACUGGAAUUUCUAGUGUAGGAGUGAAAUCCGUAGAUAUUAGAAGGAACACCAAUAGCGUAGGCAGGUUGCUGGGACGGUUCUGACACUAAGGCACGAAAGCGUAGGGAGCAAACGGGAUUAGAUACCCUUGUAGUA